This 69-nucleotide transfer RNA is filed under the name Stylotermes sp. Chi-131. Its description in RNAcentral is "tRNA-Gln". It matches the Rfam family "tRNA". From Rfam's summary of the family: Transfer RNA (tRNA) molecules are approximately 80 nucleotides in length. Their secondary structure includes four short double-helical elements and three loops (D, anti-codon, and T loops). Lineage: Eukaryota; Metazoa; Arthropoda; Insecta; Blattodea; Stylotermitidae. The record is from RNAcentral.
UACAUCUUGGUGUAUGGUGCACGUCGGUUUUUGGUGCUGUGGGUAAUGGUUUGAUUCUGUUAGAUGUAA